ACCGCAUAAGCGCACAGCAUCGCAUGGUGCAGUGUGAAAAACUCCGGUGGUAUAAGAUGGACCCGCGUUGGAUUAGCUAGUUGGUGAGGUAACGGCCCACCAAGGCGACGAUCCAUAGCCGACCUGAGAGGGUGACCGGCCACAUUGGGACUGAGACACGGCCCAAACUCCUACGGGAGGCAGCAGUGGGGAAUAUUGCACAAUGGGCGAAAGCCUGAUGCAGCGACGCCGCGUGAGCGAAGAAGUAUUUCGGUAUGUAAAGCUCUAUCAGCAGGGAAGAUAAUGACGGUACCUGACUAAGAAGCACCGGCUAAAUACGUGCCAGCAGCCGCGGUAAUACGUAUGGUGCAAGCGUUAUCCGGAUUUACUGGGUGUAAAGGGAGCGCAGGCGGUGCGGCAAGUCUGAUGUGAAAGCCCGGGGCUCAACCCCGGUACUGCAUUGGAAACUGUCGUACUAGAGUGUCGGAGGGGUAAGCGGAAUUCCUAGUGUAGCGGUGAAAUGCGUAGAUAUUAGGAGGAACACCAGUGGCGAAGGCGGCUUACUGGACGAUAACUGAC
RNAcentral lists this ribosomal RNA (558 nucleotides) under uncultured bacterium. Its description in RNAcentral is "bacterial SSU rRNA". It matches the Rfam family "Bacterial small subunit ribosomal RNA", at positions 168 to 744 of the family's 1533-position model. The record is from RNAcentral.